Molecule: long non-coding RNA, 475 nt
Organism: Talpa occidentalis (Iberian mole)
Lineage: Eukaryota; Metazoa; Chordata; Mammalia; Eulipotyphla; Talpidae
Exons: 3
Source: RefSeq, a predicted model, not a curated record
AAUAACCACAGAGUGAAAGUUAAAAAAAAAAAAAAAAAAAAGGAAAUCCUGCCAUAUGUGACAAAAUGAAUGAACAUCGAGGGUAUUAUGUUGAGUGAAAUGUCAGUCACACCAGGGAAAAUAUUGCUUGAUACAACUUAUUUGAGGAGUUUGGUGGAGUCUGAAUAUCUACUCCAGGAAGAUAAUGAAAUCGGUGAUCUGACGUAGUAUAGAAAAAUCCAGAGGAGGAAAUUUCACAUUUGAUCUGGUCGGGUUUCAGGGAACAAUAAAGAACAAUACUUGUCCUUCUACUUUCUGUACAAAAUAAAUAUAAUAGAAGCAACCAGGAGCAUUACAGCUGGAGGGGCUCUACUCCCAUAGAAGGAAACUUGAAGAGUUGGAAAAAGCAUCACUGCUUCUUCCACACUUAUUGACACCCUGUUAGGGCUCAGGCACUAUGCAAGAUACAGAAGAUGUAACAAUAAAUAAAACAUAG